RNAcentral lists this ribosomal RNA (359 nucleotides) under Caldibacillus thermoamylovorans. RNAcentral describes it as "bacterial SSU rRNA". It matches the Rfam family "Bacterial small subunit ribosomal RNA", at positions 1 to 353 of the family's 1533-position model. The record is from RNAcentral. Lineage: Bacteria; Bacillati; Bacillota; Bacilli; Caryophanales; Bacillaceae.
UUAGAGUUUGAUCCUNNCUCAGGACGAACGCUGGCGGCGUGCCUAAUACAUGCAAGUCGAGCGAACCAAUAAGAAGCUUGCUUUUUGUUGGUUAGCGGCGGACGGGUGAGUAACACGUGGGUAACCUGCCUGUAAGACCGGGAUAACUCCGGGAAACCGGUGCUAAUACCGGAUAGAUUAUCUUUCCGCCUGGAGAGAUAAGGAAAGAUGGCUUUUGCCAUCACUUACAGAUGGGCCCGCGGCGCAUUAGCUAGUUGGUGAGGUAACGGCUCACCAAGGCGACGAUGCGUAGCCGACCUGAGAGGGUGAUCGGCCACACUGGGACUGAGACACGGCCCAGACUCCUACGGGAGGCAGCA